Molecule: ribosomal RNA, 203 nt
Filed under: uncultured bacterium
Lineage: Bacteria
Description: partial 16S ribosomal RNA
Rfam family: Bacterial small subunit ribosomal RNA
Source: RNAcentral
GACGAACGCUGGCGGCGUGCUUAACACAUGCAAGUCGAGCGGUAAGGCCCUUUCGGGGGUACGACGAGCGGCGAACGGGUGAGUAACACGUGGGUGACCUGCCCUCCAGCUCUGGGAGUAAGCCUGGGAAACCGGGUCUAAUACCGGAUAUGACUCCAUGACGCAUGUUGUGGGGUGGAAAGCCUUGUGCGGCUGAGGAUGGG